RNAcentral lists this ribosomal RNA (460 nucleotides) under uncultured bacterium. Its description in RNAcentral is "partial 16S ribosomal RNA". It matches the Rfam family "Bacterial small subunit ribosomal RNA", at positions 338 to 795 of the family's 1533-position model. The record is from RNAcentral.
CCUACGGGUGGCAGCAGUGAGGAAUAUUGGUCAAUGGACGAGAGUCUGAACCAGCCAAGUCGCGUGAAGGAUGACUGCCCUAUGGGUUGUAAACUUCUUUUAUAUGGGAAUAAAAUGUUCCACGUGUGGGAUUUUGUAUGUACCAUAUGAAUAAGCAUCGGCUAACUCCGUGCCAGCAGCCGCGGUAAUACGGAGGAUCCGAGCGUUAUCCGGAUUUAUUGGGUUUAAAGGGAGCGUAGGUGGAUUGUUAAGUCAGUUGUGAAAGUUUGCGGCUCAACCGUAAAAUUGCAGUUGAAACUGGCAGUCUUGAGUACAGUAGAGGUGGGCGGAAUUCGUGGUGUAGCGGUGAAAUGCUUAGAUAUCACGAAGAACCCCGAUUGCGAAGGCAGUUCACUAAACUGUAACUGACAUUGAGGCUCGAAAGUGUGGGUAUCAAACAGGAUUAGAUACCCCGGUAGUC